Molecule: long non-coding RNA, 260 nt
Organism: Coregonus clupeaformis (lake whitefish)
Lineage: Eukaryota; Metazoa; Chordata; Actinopteri; Salmoniformes; Salmonidae
Exons: 4
Source: RefSeq, a predicted model, not a curated record
GCUGUGAGCUCGGAUAGAAAAAUGUAUCAACCACCACGAACAGGUUGGUGUAUUGGGGCGGAUUGUUCUGUCCUCUGUAUUUCAGACCAAAGCAAGACAACGUUUAAAGCUCACUAUGGAUCUACUAACAGUGUGGCUGUGGAAGACUGGUCCCGUGAUGAUGUCUGCAAGUGGCUGAGUACCAAUGAUCUCCAUGAUUCCAUCCCAUCAUUCCAAGGAUCCAUUUUGAGACGACAGAGCAGAAAACACUAUAUGGAGAG